This 440-nucleotide ribosomal RNA is filed under the name uncultured bacterium. RNAcentral describes it as "partial 16S ribosomal RNA". It matches the Rfam family "Bacterial small subunit ribosomal RNA", at positions 338 to 795 of the family's 1533-position model. The record is from RNAcentral.
CCUACGGGAGACAGCAGUGGGGAAUAUUGCACAAUGGGGGAAACCCUGAUGCAGCGACGCCGCGUGAGUGAAGAAGUAUUUCGGUACGUAAAGCUCUAUCAGCAGGGAAGAAAAUGACGGUACCUGACUAAGAAGCCCCGGCUAACUACGUGCCAGCAGCCGCGGUAAUACGUAGGGGGCAAGCGUUAUCCGGAUUUACUGGGUGUAAAGGGAGCGUAGACGGCAGCGCAAGUCUGGAGUGAAAUCCCAUGGCUUAACCAUGGAACUGCUUUGGAAACUGUGCAGCUAGAGUGCAGGAGAGGUAAGCGGAAGUCCUAGUGUAGCGGUGAAAUGCGUAGAUAUUAGGAGGAACACCAGUGGCGAAGGCGGCUUACUGGACUGUAACUGACGUUGAGGCUCGAAAGCGUGGGGAGCAAACAGGAUUAGAUACCCCGGUAGUC